This 505-nucleotide ribosomal RNA is filed under the name uncultured bacterium. RNAcentral's name for it is "bacterial SSU rRNA". It matches the Rfam family "Bacterial small subunit ribosomal RNA", at positions 19 to 518 of the family's 1533-position model. The record is from RNAcentral.
CUGGCUCAGGAUGAACGCUAGCUACAGGCUUAACACAUGCAAGUCGAGGGGCAGCAUAAAAGUAGCAUACUUGGUGGCGACCGGCGCACGGGUGAGUAACGCGUAUGCAACCUACCUAUCAGAGGGGAAUAACCCGGCGAAAGUCGGACUAAUACCGCAUAAAACAGGGGCACCGCAUGGUGAUAUUUGUUAAAGAGAUUCGCUGAUAGAUGGGCAUGCGUUCCAUUAGGUAGUUGGUGAGGUAACGGCUCACCAAGCCGACGAUGGAUAGGGGAACUGAGAGGUUGGUCCCCCACACUGGUACUGAGACACGGACCAGACUCCUACGGGAGGCAGCAGUGAGGAAUAUUGGUCAAUGGGCGAGAGCCUGAACCAGCCAAGUCGCGUGAAGGAAGAAGGAUCUAUGGUUCGUAAACUUCUUUUGCAGGGGAAUAAAGUGCAGGACGUGUCCUGUUUUGUAUGUACCCUGAGAAUAAGGAUCGGCUAACUCCGUGCCAGCCGCCGC